This 264-nucleotide ribosomal RNA is filed under the name uncultured bacterium. RNAcentral describes it as "partial 16S ribosomal RNA". It matches the Rfam family "Bacterial small subunit ribosomal RNA", at positions 338 to 598 of the family's 1533-position model. The record is from RNAcentral.
CCUACGGGGGGCAGCAGUGAGGAAUAUUGGUCAAUGGGCGGAAGCCUGAACCAGCCAAGUCGCGUGAGGGACUAAGGCCCUGCGGGUCGUAAACCUCUUUUGCCGGGGAGCAGUGGUCCGGACGCGUCCGGACCGGGAGAGUACCCGGAGAAAAAGCAUCGGCUAACUCCGUGCCAGCAGCCGCGGUAAUACGUAGGGAGCAAGCGUUAUCCGGAUUUAUUGGGUGUAAAGGGUGCGUAGACGGGAAAACAAGUUAGUUGUGAA